Triticum aestivum (bread wheat) is the source of this 121-nucleotide non-coding RNA. Lineage: Eukaryota; Viridiplantae; Streptophyta; Magnoliopsida; Poales; Poaceae. The record is from Rfam.
CAGUUACUCCCUCUGUCCCAAAAUAAGUGUCCCAAGCUUAGUACAACUUUGUACUAGAGUUAGUACAAAGUUACUCUAGUACAAAGUUGAGACACUUAUUUUGGGACGGAGGGAGUAUUUU